GAUGAACGCUGGCGGCGUGCCUAAUACAUGCAAGUCGAGCGAACAGACGAGGAGCUUGCUCCUCUGACGUUAGCGGCGGACGGGUGAGUAACACGUGGAUAACCUACCUAUAAGACUGGGAUCACUUCGGGAAACCGGCGCUAAUACCGGAUAAUAUAUUGAACCGCAUAGUUCAAUAGUGAAAGACGGUUUUGCUGUCACUUAUAGCUGGAUCCGCGCCGCAUUAGCUAGUUGGUAAGGUAACGGCUUACCAAGGCAACGAUGCGUAGCCGACCUGAGAGGGUGAUCGGCCACACUGGAACUGAGACACGGUCCAGACUCCUACGGGAGGCAGCAGUAGGGAAUCUUCCGCAAUGGGCGAAAGCCUGACGGAGCAACGCCGCGUGAGUGAUGAAGGUCUUCGGAUCGUAAAACUCUGUUAUUAGGGAAGAACAAAUGUGUAAGUAACUAUGCACGUCUUGACGGUACCUAAUCAGAAAGCCACGGCUAACUACGUG
This 497-nucleotide ribosomal RNA is filed under the name uncultured bacterium. Its description in RNAcentral is "partial 16S ribosomal RNA". It matches the Rfam family "Bacterial small subunit ribosomal RNA", at positions 28 to 507 of the family's 1533-position model. The record is from RNAcentral.